Molecule: small RNA, 538 nt
Filed under: Pan troglodytes (chimpanzee)
Lineage: Eukaryota; Metazoa; Chordata; Mammalia; Primates; Hominidae
Description: processed transcript
Source: RNAcentral
AAACAAAACACGUCGGGGAAACCAGACCGCCGCGGAGAGGGACAGCGCCCAGCAAAAGCGAGGCUGAUGGAGCGAAGCCAGGAAGAGGAUGCGGAGACGCGGGGGUCUGUCUGGCUAUGUCACCCAGGCUGGCCUCCAACUCCUGAGCUCAAGCCAUCCUCCUGCCUCAGCCUUCUGAGUAGCUGAGACUACAGUUGUUGUGGAAGAUAAAGCCCAGCCUGAUAUAUGCUCUUUCAAAGGAAGUUCUCAGGAAUAUCCUGUAUAUGGCACCAGACCUCAGACAAUUCAGGUAGACAAAAACCCUCAUGUGUAUCACAGCUACGUAAUGCUAGAACAAAAUAUUGAAUAUUCAAGCUCAGAGUAUUUUUUAGAGGGUUUCUGCUUUUCCCUUAUUUACAGGUUUGGCUUUUUCCUGAUGUUCUAUCAGUGACUGGAAAUUGUAUUAGUCCCUUCUCAUGCUGCAUAAGGACAUACCCGAGACUGGGUAAUUUAUAAAGGAAAGAGGCUUAAUUGACUCAUAGUUCUGCAUGGCUGCAGA